This is a long non-coding RNA of Myotis brandtii (Brandt's bat), 266 nucleotides long. RefSeq lists it as uncharacterized. The transcript has 2 exons. Lineage: Eukaryota; Metazoa; Chordata; Mammalia; Chiroptera; Vespertilionidae. The record is from RefSeq and is a predicted model, not a curated record.
CUAGGGCAUUAUGCCUUUGUUAUGUGUAGAUUCCUGUAUACUGGGGGCAGUUGGAGUAUUUGGGCAAAUGUCAUUUAAAUUUUAACAUGAAGAGCAGGAUAUUCUUUAUAAUGCAAGCAAAUUUGUAAUUUUCAGCCAGUAGGAAAUUAAUGUCAUGUUUAUAUUUUACAGGAAUGUGACAAGUGUCAGAGGCGGCAGAAGAAUAGAGCAUUUUGCUAUUUUUGUAAUUCUGUACAGAAGUUACCAAUUUGUGCACAAUGUGGUAA